GACGAACGCUGGCGGCGUGCUUAACACAUGCAAGUCGAACGGAAAGGCCCUGCUUUUGUGGGGUGCUCGAGUGGCGAACGGGGGAGUAACACGUGAGUAACCUGCCCUUGACUUUGGGAUAACUUCAGGAAACUGGGGCUAAUACCGGAUAGGAGCUCCUGCUUCAGGGUGGGGGUUGGAAAGUUUCGGCGGUUGGGGAUGGACUCGCGGCUUAUCAGCUUGUUGGUGGGGUAGUGGCUUACCAAGGCUUUGACGGGUAGCCGGCCUGUGAGGGUGACCGGCCACAUUGGCAGUGAGAUACGGCCCACACUCCUCCGGGAGGGAGCAGUGGGGAGUAUUGCACAGUGGGCGGACGCAUGAUGCAGCAACGCCGCGUGCGGGAUGACGGCCUUCGGGUUGUAAACCGCUUUCGCCUGUGACGAAGCGUGAGUGACGGUACUGGGGAAAGAAGCACCGGCUACCUACGU
RNAcentral lists this ribosomal RNA (467 nucleotides) under uncultured bacterium. RNAcentral's name for it is "partial 16S ribosomal RNA". It matches the Rfam family "Bacterial small subunit ribosomal RNA", at positions 28 to 506 of the family's 1533-position model. The record is from RNAcentral.